RNAcentral lists this ribosomal RNA (249 nucleotides) under uncultured bacterium. Its description in RNAcentral is "partial 16S ribosomal RNA". It matches the Rfam family "Bacterial small subunit ribosomal RNA", at positions 103 to 353 of the family's 1533-position model. The record is from RNAcentral.
CGGGUGAGUAAUGUCUGGGAAACUGCCUGAUGGAGGGGGAUAACUACUGGAAACGGUAGCUAAUACCGCAUAACGUCGCAAGACCAAAGAGGGGGACCUUCGGGCCUCUUGCCAUCAGAUGUGCCCAGAUGGGAUUAGCUAGUAGGUGGGGUAACGGCUCACCUAGGUGACGAUCCCUAGCUGGUCUGAGAGGAUGACCAGCCACACUGGAACUGAGACACGGUCCAGACUCCUACGGGAGGCAGCAUG